AUUGAACGCUGGCGGAAUGCUUAACACAUGCAAGUCAAACGGCAGCACGGACUUCGGUCUGCUGGCGAGUGGCGAACGGGUGAGUAAUGCAUCGGAACGUGCCCAGUCGUGGGGGAUAACGUAGUGAAAAUUACGCUAAUACCGCAUACGACCUACGGAUGAAAGCGGGGGAUCGUCAGACCUCGCGCUACUGGAGCGGCCGAUAUCAGAUUAGGUAGUUGGUGGGGUAUAGGCCCACCAAGCCAACGAUCUGUAGCUGGUCUGAGAGGACGACCAGCCACACUGGAACUGAGACACGGUCCAGACUCCUACGGGAGGCAGCAGUGGGGAAUUUUGGACAAUGGGCGAAAGCCUGAUCCAGCCAUUCCGCGUGCAGGAUGAAGGCCCUCGGGUUGUAAACUGCUUUUGUACAGAACGAAAAGGUUUCUACUAAUACUAGGAGCUCAUGACGGUACUGAAAGAAUAAGCACCGGCUAACUACGUGCCAGCCGCCGCCGUAA
Molecule: ribosomal RNA, 500 nt
Filed under: uncultured bacterium
Lineage: Bacteria
Description: partial 16S ribosomal RNA
Rfam family: Bacterial small subunit ribosomal RNA
Source: RNAcentral